AGCAGCCGCGGUAAUUCCAGCUCCAAUAGCGUAUAUUAAAGUUGUUGCAGUUAAAAGCUCGUAGUUGAAUUUCGGGAUCAGUAGGUUGGUCAUACCUCUGGUAUGUACUGGUCUCACUGAUUCCUCCCUCUUGAAGAACUGUAAUGUCAUUAAUUUGAUGUUGCGGGGAAUCAGGACUGUUACUUUGAAAAAAUUAGAGUGUUUAAAGCAGGCUCACGCUUGAAUACAUUAGCAUGGAAUAAUGAAAUAGGACGUAUGAUCCUAUUUUGGUUGGUUUCUAGGGAUUGACGUAAUGAUUAAUAGGGAUAGUUGGGGGCAUUAGUAUUCAAUUGUCAGAGGUGAAAUUCUUGGAUUUAUUGAAGACUAACUACUGCGAAAGCAUUUGCCAAGGUGUUUUCAUUAAUCAAGAACGAAAGUUAGGGGAUCGAAGACGAUCAGAUACCGUCGUAGUCUUAACCAUAAACUAUGCCGACUAGGGAUUCGGAUGA
RNAcentral lists this ribosomal RNA (488 nucleotides) under uncultured Glomus. RNAcentral describes it as "SSU rRNA". It matches the Rfam family "Eukaryotic small subunit ribosomal RNA", at positions 569 to 1061 of the family's 1831-position model. The record is from RNAcentral. Lineage: Eukaryota; Fungi; Glomeromycota; Glomeromycetes; Glomerales; Glomeraceae.